GACGAACGCUGGCGGCGUGCUUAACACAUGCAAGUCGAACGGAAAGGCCCUGCUUUUGUGGGGUGCUCGAGUGGCGAACGGGUGAGUAACACGUGAGUAACCUGCCCUUGACUUUGGGAUAACUUCAGGAAACUGGGGCUAAUACCGGAUAGGAGCUCCUGCCGCAUGGUGGGGGUUGGAAAGUUUCGGCGGUUGGGGAUGGACUCGCGGCGUAUCAGCUUGUUGGUGGGGUAGUGGCUUACCAAGGCUUUGACGGGUAGCCGGCCUGAGAGGGUGACCGGCCACAUUGGGACUGAGAUACGGCCCAGACUACUACGGGAGGCAGCAGUGGGGAAGAUUGCACAAUGGGCGGAAGCCUGAUGCAGCAACGCCGCGUGCGGGAUGACGGCCAUCGGGUUGUAAACCGCUUUCGCCUGUGACGAAGCGUGAGUGACGGUAAUGGGUAAAGAAGCACCGGCUAACUACGUG
RNAcentral lists this ribosomal RNA (468 nucleotides) under uncultured bacterium. RNAcentral describes it as "partial 16S ribosomal RNA". It matches the Rfam family "Bacterial small subunit ribosomal RNA", at positions 28 to 507 of the family's 1533-position model. The record is from RNAcentral.